RNAcentral lists this long non-coding RNA (793 nucleotides) under Pogona vitticeps (central bearded dragon). RNAcentral's name for it is "lncRNA (ENSPVIG00000023670.1)". Lineage: Eukaryota; Metazoa; Chordata; Lepidosauria; Squamata; Agamidae. The record is from RNAcentral.
CCAAGUGUGAGACCCCCACAUUGCUUCUCACAGUUCACCACUUGUGUCAAUCAUCUUGGUGUUACUUGUACUCAAUACUUAUUCCUAGCAUAAUAGUCCAACUGCUGUAUUAAUGAACCACAGUCACUUUGUCCAUUAUUUGUAUCCUCACCUGGUCAUGGGGAUGUGUAUCAGUAGGGUAGCCAUCUAGUCUGAAGAAGUGGACUUGAACCACAAAAGCUCACAAUAAAAUAUAACAGUCUUUGAUAUCCCAACAACCACAAUAUGUUUGUCUUUUUGUUUCUUUGUAGCCUACUUUGCAUCUCCUAAGCUACUGUACUUCCCCAAGGAAUAGAGAAAGUUACUGUCUUGUCUCCAGGGCCAAAAGAAGAAUUAAACUACCCGUGUGUUCACUUCAGACCUUGGAAAUAACUAGCUACAACUUCCUCUGCAUGGCUGCCUUUGCGCUUUAUAUCACAAUGUCAUAUUAUCAAGGCUCCAGAAUGAAUGUGAACUUCCCGUUGUUUCUGAGCACGACUUUCUCGGUGACAGUUCCGGCAAUUUACUUCCCACUGAAGAAACCAGGAAGGCCCUGCCCUCUGGGAUAAUUAAGCAUGACAGAGCUGCUGCUGUUUUGGCUGCUUUAGGUCAGCUUUCCCAGUGCCUCUGAUGAUCAAGGCAUUGGAGUGUCCAGUUUCAUUCCUGUUCUUAUUUGUAUUCAUUUUCCAGCAUGAGCCGAAACACCGAGCAACAGAUGAUCCAUUACCACAAACAAGAAACAAAUGUGCUAAAUUAAAAUAAAUUGAUACAGAUG